This 437-nucleotide ribosomal RNA is filed under the name Triticum aestivum (bread wheat). Its description in RNAcentral is "partial small subunit ribosomal RNA". Lineage: Eukaryota; Viridiplantae; Streptophyta; Magnoliopsida; Poales; Poaceae. The record is from RNAcentral.
GAAGAAGAAGAAAAGAAGAACCAGCACCGUCCCCUCUCCUCUCCUCUCUCUCCGUCCCCGCGCUACAGUUACGGCACCCGCUACUGGCACAGGCAGCACCUGUACCACACCCUCCAGGACCGCGACACCCACAGCAGGACGGAGCGGCCGCGGUGGCGGCAGCGGGCGCGGAAGGCCUGUCCCCUGGAGCAGCCUAGGAAGGCCGGGCCGUAGAUUGCGAGGAGCUACAGAGAGAAGCGCGUCUAGCUAGCUAGGGCAGCGACGCCACGACGAAGGCAGCAGCUAGUUCAGCGACGUUGUCGUAGUAACAAAAACAAAUCAUAUCAAAAGACACACAGAUAAUAUAGUGCGCCGCCGUCACAUUGUAACCUGCUUUAAUAAAGAGAAGAUAAAGAUAAGAAAGUAACUACAUGUAUUGUUAAUUAUUAUGACCACCA